RNAcentral lists this ribosomal RNA (292 nucleotides) under uncultured bacterium. RNAcentral describes it as "partial 16S ribosomal RNA". It matches the Rfam family "Bacterial small subunit ribosomal RNA", at positions 505 to 796 of the family's 1533-position model. The record is from RNAcentral.
GUGCCAGCCGCCGCGGUAAUACGGAGGAUGCAAGCGUUAUCCGGAAUCAUUGGGCGUAAAGAGUCCGUAGGUGGUCAUGCAAGUCCAUUGUCAAAGACAGAAGCUUAACUUCUGGAAGGCGGUGGAAACUGUGAGACUAGAGAGAGGUAGGGGUAGAGGGAAUUCCCAGUGUAGCGGUGAAAUGCGUAGAGAUUGGGAAGAACACCGGUGGCGAAAGCGCUCUACUGGGCCUUUACUGACACUGAGGGACGAAAGCUAGGGGAGCGAAAGGGAUUAGAAACCCUCGUAGUCC